UGGGGAAUAUUGGGCAAUGGAGACAACUCUGACCCAGCAACGCCGCGUGAGGGAAGAAGGUUUUCGGAUUGUAAACCUCUGUCCUUGGGGACGAAGAAAGUGACGGUACCCAAGGAGGAAGCCCCGGCUAACUACGUGCCAGCAGCCGCGGUAAUACGUAGGGGGCAAGCGUUGUCCGGAAUUACUGGGCGUAAAGGGUGCGUAGGCGGUUAUUUAAGUCAGAUGUGAAAUCCCCGGGCUUAACUCGGGUGGUGCAUUUGAAACUGGGUAACUAGAGUGCAGGAGAGGGAAGCGGAAUUCCUAGUGUAGCGGUGAAAUGCGUAGAUAUUAGGAGGAACACCAGUGGCGAAGGCGGCUUUCUGGACUGUAACUGACGCUGAGGCACGAAAGCGUGGGGAGCAAACA
RNAcentral lists this ribosomal RNA (405 nucleotides) under uncultured prokaryote. Its description in RNAcentral is "bacterial SSU rRNA". It matches the Rfam family "Bacterial small subunit ribosomal RNA", at positions 355 to 774 of the family's 1533-position model. The record is from RNAcentral.